RNAcentral lists this transfer RNA (63 nucleotides) under Rhodobothrium cf. paucitesticulare DJM-2021. Its description in RNAcentral is "tRNA-Lys". The record is from RNAcentral. Lineage: Eukaryota; Metazoa; Platyhelminthes; Cestoda; Rhinebothriidea; Rhinebothriidae.
CUCUAUAUAUCUAAGUUAAGAGCUGGGUUCUUACUCCAGUAAUGUGUUUGCACACUGUAGAGU